GACGCUGGCGGCGUGCUUAACACAUGCAAGUCGAACGAACCUUCGGGUUAGUGGCGGACGGGUGAGUAACGCGUGAGAAUCUGCCCUCAGGAGGGGGAUAACGGUUGGAAACGACCGCUAAUACCCCAUAUGCCUAUUGGUGAAAUGAAUUUCGCCUGAGGAUGAGCUCGCGUCUGAUUAGCUAGUUGGUGAGGUAAUGGCUCACCAAGGCUUCGAUCAGUAGCUGGUCUGAGAGGAUGAUCAGCCACACUGGGACUGAGACACGGCCCAGACUCCUACGGGAGGCAGCAGUGGGGAAUUUUCCGCAAUGGGCGAAAGCCUGACGGAGCAACGCCGCGUGAGGGACGAAGGCCUCUGGGCUGUAAACCUCUUUUCU
This 376-nucleotide ribosomal RNA is filed under the name uncultured cyanobacterium. RNAcentral's name for it is "bacterial SSU rRNA". It matches the Rfam family "Bacterial small subunit ribosomal RNA", at positions 32 to 439 of the family's 1533-position model. Lineage: Bacteria; Bacillati; Cyanobacteriota. The record is from RNAcentral.